AGUCGGGGGAGCAGCGGUCCCCUGUAUCGGAAGUCCGCUAUAUGCCGAGAUGAUGCCCUGCCUAGGAUUUGAAGUGAAGGUCAGCCCUUUUUGCGCGGUGUUGAGAUCUGGGUCCUGCGCGGCGGAAACCCGCGAACCGUGUCAGGUUGGGAACAAAGCAGCACUAAACGGGAUCUUCCGGGUGCCGCAGGGUCGCCUGGGUUGAGCUGUUGCAUUGAGUAAGCUCUCCUUUGCCGAGGUUCGAAGCAGGGCGCCC
This 256-nucleotide signal recognition particle RNA is filed under the name bovine gut metagenome. RNAcentral describes it as "Bacterial large signal recognition particle RNA". It matches the Rfam family "Bacterial large signal recognition particle RNA". Rfam says of the family: The signal recognition particle (SRP) is a universally conserved ribonucleoprotein involved in the co-translational targeting of proteins to membranes. Archaeal SRP consists of a 7S RNA and homologues of the eukaryotic SRP19 and SRP54 proteins. The record is from RNAcentral.